Pogoniulus pusillus (Red-fronted tinkerbird) is the source of this 143-nucleotide long non-coding RNA. RefSeq lists it as uncharacterized. The transcript has 3 exons. Lineage: Eukaryota; Metazoa; Chordata; Aves; Piciformes; Lybiidae. The record is from RefSeq and is a predicted model, not a curated record.
UUUCAAGAGUGGAGAAGGGAUGGGAGAAGGAGUGCUGAGGAUAUGGGGAAACUCAGGCAGUUGCUGACAGCAGGUUGAAUCAGAUGUUCAAGAUGGAAAAGCUGCUGCCUUGUGAUACGAUUCAGGGGAAGAAUGUCAGUGGC